Molecule: ribosomal RNA, 585 nt
Filed under: uncultured bacterium
Lineage: Bacteria
Description: bacterial SSU rRNA
Rfam family: Bacterial small subunit ribosomal RNA
Source: RNAcentral
UGCGGUGAGUGAAGAACGCUUCGGUUUGUAAAGCUCUUUGUCAGGAAGAAACACCGGCUCUAACACAGUCCGGGAAUGACGGUACCUGAAGAAUAAGCACCGGCUAACUACGUGCCAGCAGCCGCGGUAAUACGUAGGGUGCGAGCGUUAAUCGGAAUUACUGGGCGUAAAGCGUGCGCAGGCGGUUAUACAAGACAGGCGUGAAAUCCCCGGGCUUAACCUGGGAAUGGCGCCUGUGACUGUAUGGCUAGAGUGUGUCAGAGGGGGGUAGAAUUCCACGUGUAGCAGUGAAAUGCGUAGAUAUGUGGAGGAAUACCAAUGGCGAAGGCAGCCCCCUGGGAUAACACUGACGCUCAUGCACGAAAGCGUGGGGAGCAAACAGGAUUAGAUACCCUGGUAGUCCACGCCCUACACGAUGCUGACUAGUUGUUCGGGAUUUACAUCCUGAGUAACGUAGCUAACGCGUGAAGUCAGCCGACUGGGGAGUACGGUCGCAAGAUUACAACUCAAAGGAAUUGACGGGGACCCGAACAAGCGGUGGAUGAUGUGGAUUAAUUCGAUGCAACGCGAAAACCUUACCUACCU